This 454-nucleotide unclassified non-coding RNA is filed under the name Hevea brasiliensis (rubber tree). Lineage: Eukaryota; Viridiplantae; Streptophyta; Magnoliopsida; Malpighiales; Euphorbiaceae. The record is from RNAcentral.
GGCUAGUGGAAGAAAAAUAACUAACUAAAGGUUUUAUGUGCACUUUUCAUAAUAAAAAUGAAGUGCAAUCUUAAAAUUUGAAGGCUUUGACGUCUAACAACCCUUUAGAAAAAGAUUCAACCAAAUCAGUCAAUUCAUAUCGAUUCACCCGAUUCAUUAUCAAAACAUAAGAUUCAGUCACGAUUCAGGUACAUUUGCAAUUCACCUCAUAGAUUCAAAUGGGGAAUCAAAUCAAAUCAUACGAAUCGAAUCGAGAAUCUCAAGAUUCUAACAACAGUCAAAAUUCCAACAGCUAUUUGCAAGGUUGCUAAAAUUUGUCGUGUAAUCAUACUCUAAUGCCAAGCUAAUGCCUAUUUUGAUUGCUCCACUCCUUUAACGGAAAGCACCCUAUCUCACAACAAAUAAGGGGACCCCACACAAAGGCAAAGGGCAUACAAAACAUGUCUGUGCACAU